Molecule: ribosomal RNA, 611 nt
Filed under: uncultured bacterium
Lineage: Bacteria
Description: bacterial SSU rRNA
Rfam family: Bacterial small subunit ribosomal RNA
Source: RNAcentral
CCUACGGGAGGCAGCAGUGGGGAAUUUUGGACAAUGGGCGCAAGCCUGAUCCAGCCAUGCCGCGUGCGGGAAGAAGGCCUUCGGGUUGUAAACCGCUUUUGUCAGGGAAGAAACGCUCUGGGCUAAUACCCCGGGGUAAUGACGGUACCUGAAGAAUAAGCACCGGCUAACUACGUGCCAGCAGCCGCGGUAAUACGUAGGGUGCAAGCGUUAAUCGGAAUUACUGGGCGUAAAGCGUGCGCAGGCGGCUGUGCAAGACAGAUGUGAAAUCCCCGGGCUCAACCUGGGAACUGCAUUUGUGACUGCACAGCUAGAGUACGGCAGAGGGGGAUGGAAUUCCGCGUGUAGCAGUGAAAUGCGUAGAUAUGCGGAGGAACACCGAUGGCGAAGGCAAUCCCCUGGGCCUGUACUGACGCUCAUGCACGAAAGCGUGGGGAGCAAACAGGAUUAGAUACCCUGGUAGUCCACGCCCUAAACGAUGUCAACUGGUUGUUGGGAGGGUUUCUUCUCAGUAACGUAGCUAACGCGUGAAGUUGACCGCCUGGGGAGUCGGCCGCAAGGUUGAACUNAAUGAUUGNGNGNGAGAGNGCGAGNGACGACGAGGGAGGAGG